UAACGGUAAGGGUUUCAAAAAGGCAAAAAAAAAAAAGGGAAACGCCUCAAAUCUCGCCGAAAAUCGUGAGAUUUCCGGUGAGGCAUGCCUUGCCAGCCAGGGCGUAUUAAUGCGCAUUAAACCCUAGGUACCUUAGUAGCCGUCUUUUCCUUUUUGAGUCACUGUCAUACCUGUGAGGGAGGAGCCGAAGGGUUUAGGUGAGGGAUCAAAAAUGUCGCUAGACUUCAGAUCGGGUUGGGAGAUCAAUAACGCAGCAAGCUUUAGGUAGGAGCAGGCGCUAGUGUACGUCGGGCAAGGAGGGACAAACGCGCCACCAGAGAUGGACGAACGACGACGCUUCCACAGGUGACAGUACCCAAGCCCGCGAUAAGGGCUAUUGAGGCGUUCGGGCGAGGAAGACGAAGCAGCGGGUGCGGGUCAACCCUCGGCAUUCCGCGGUUCGUCUCAGCUGGCGUGCAGCCCACACCUCGCAGGCCGCACUCGGACACCACCAUUGGGCCACGUUCCUUUUCGGCCCAAACCAGAGGCGCGCCCAGAAACCCGUUGCCGUUAGGGUUCUUCGCAGCCCGUCGGUUUCGGCUCUACCAGCGGCUCGGCUAGGUCGGCUGGGUAGUGCGGCUUGGCGGCGCGGCUCGGUGGCUCGACAUCCAAACAGUAUACCGAUAUCUAGGUUUUUGACCCUUCUGGAGCCAUUCCCACCCUUGUUUCAGCCAUCUGAGGAGGUAGUUAGGCGCCGGAGUUAGCAUUGUGGGUGACUUCGGCCAAGGCCAAGGAGGUAAGGGCAAGGCUCCCAUGUACGGCUGACGGUGGAAGCUGCGAAGGCCAUGGAAAUCUUAAGGAGAGUUAGUGUCGUAGGCGCCUUGUUGGAUUCUUUUGGGUUCAUAGUUAUUGCAAUUGUUUCCUCUAGUUCUCUGUUGAUUAUUUCUAGGUUAGGUUGUCGUUAUUGACUUCCCCAGGUAUGAACUGCUUAUAAUAAUGAACGCAUUGUUGUUAUUGAGACUGUCUUACGUGAA
Long non-coding RNA from Cucurbita moschata (crookneck pumpkin), 1013 nucleotides. RefSeq lists it as uncharacterized. Lineage: Eukaryota; Viridiplantae; Streptophyta; Magnoliopsida; Cucurbitales; Cucurbitaceae. The record is from RefSeq and is a predicted model, not a curated record. The transcript is spliced from 3 exons.